This 232-nucleotide ribosomal RNA is filed under the name uncultured bacterium. Its description in RNAcentral is "partial 16S ribosomal RNA". It matches the Rfam family "Bacterial small subunit ribosomal RNA", at positions 15 to 236 of the family's 1533-position model. The record is from RNAcentral.
GAUCAUGGCUCAGGAUGAACGCUAGCUACAGGCUUAACACAUGCAAGUCGAGGGGAAACGACAUCGAAAGCUUGCUUUUGAUGGGCGUCGACCGGCGCACGGGCGAGUAACGCGUAUCCAACCUGCCCAUCACUUGGGAAUAACAUUGCGAAAGUAAGACUAAUGCCCAAUGAUAUCCCACGAAGGCAUCCGAAUGGGAUUAAAGAUUUAUCGGUGAUGGAUGGGGAUGCGU